UGAUUGUCUUCAGGGAUGUCCACUCAACAUCUCUGUAAUAAGAACGUGAAAGAGUUUCAAAGUGUUGUCACGACAUGAGUCUUGAUUCAGGGUUGUGAUUCACCUGCAAAAAGAAAGCAUAUCAACUUUGCAAAUAAAAGUCUCGGUAUACAAAUCAUAUUGCACCCAUAGUAUCAGGAUACAUAUCGUACUGCGACCCCAGCGUAUCAUUACACUUCUACUAGCUAGUUUUGGUUUGAAUAUCCCACUUCCCCCCCCGAGUAUUAUCCCUGGUCAUGCAACAUGAAAUAAUGUUCAAAGUGGUGUUUUAACCAACUCACCAGGGUUUUACUGGAGUCAUUAUGUUGCAUCUACACUCAUACAAAUUGUGCAUGGUUGCAAAUAAUUACAUUGCGAGUCCUGAGGUAUGAAAAAGUCCCCUUUAAAUUUAAAAAACUAAUCCAAAUUGUGGAUUGCAUGUUAAAUGUAACUGACAUUUCUAUUCUGGUUGGAACUUCACUUAAGGUUCGAAAUCAUUGUUGAUUUUAUUCAGUCUAGCACUGAAAUCCCUAUCUAUAAUAGAAUAAAGGCUUCCGCGCUAGUGCAGUGAUAGGACGUAGUAGUAUGUAUGGAAAUCAACAUGAUCCCGUGAGCAUGCCUCAUGUCGCCAGUCGGGACUCCCAUGUCCGUGCCUUGGACCCAACAAGCUGAGAGUCCCUGGGCUAAAAGAUAAACCCAGGUAAAGCUGUGACUCUCAUUCAUUUGAAUUACAGUUUAUAACAGUUUUUUAUGUUGCUGCAGGUUUCAAUGAUAUGAAGUCCCAGCUCAGUGAUUACCUGAAGAAGUUUGCUGAAAAUGGAAAGGUUGUGAGAGAGGAAGACAUCAAGGAGUUCUUCUCCAAUAUGCAAGCGAGGAAGAGGCAGAAAACAGAGGAGGGCUUUCAGUACAAUUGUAAAUAAAGACCAACUUCACGAUCUAGAUUCUGCUGAAAGUCAAGAUGACCAUGUGAUGACCAUUGGCUAAGACCAUUGAACAAAGAGACAUGUAUACAGUGUUUGGCCCGGAGACAUUGAAGGUGCAUUGGACCAUGUUGUACUCAGUUGGGAUUUUAUGUCAGACUCAGUUUGCUCCUUAUACAGAUUUGUUUUAAGAUUUGCUCACUCAUAAGAUGCCCCCAUAGGGUUUCCUAAAAAAACCUUUUAUUUUACCUACACAAAAUUAAGAUUUUACUAUGAAUUCUGUUUUGAGUUUUACAUCUAAAGGAGAUGAUAAUUCAUGAUUCAUUUGGAUGAAAUUCUAUUACUUUACAGUGUUUAUCUCAGUAUUUUACCCAUGCCCUAAAUAUGAGACUUCUAGUGACGCAGUGUUACCCUUUGGAAUAUCCAUUUUUGAAACAAACACAGUGCUUCCUUAGUCUGGAAACCUGUUCCCUCUGACAUUGUUAUCUGAAACUGAAACCAGACUUCACUCUGACAUAAUAAGAGAUCUGAUAAGAGGGCAUAUUAUGAUGUUUUUUUUUAAUUUUUAUCUUUAAUUUUUUAUAUUUAUUAUAUUGACACAGCUGGCCAAAUUAUAAAUUUGUUGCCUGCGUCAGUUACAAAAAUAUCUCACAAGGUAUAUGUAAAAUUAUUAUUAAGUAUAUAUUUAGCAAUACCAUAAGUUUUAGUUUAUGUGCAUAUGAUAAUUAUUUUAUCAAUUUGUACACAAUGCACCAUCUCUCUUGUAAUCUAAUAAUAUAUGUCGCCUAUGUUUUCAUUUGAAUGUUUGCAUUGCUGCAAGUUGUUGAGCAUUUUAUCGUUACAGUUUCCUCCAACAGAUGUUAUUGCUGCUGUUUUUUUAGAGUUGGCAAUUAGCAAGACUGGUUCUGAUUGUUCCUGUUUUUGGAGCUGUUCACUAUUAUUCAAAUUGUUUGUUCUAAUGAAGCCUAAGAUUUUAUGUCUGUUUUUCUGGAUCCAAACUUUGAAUGAUAAUACCCCAAAACCAUUCAGAUUUAGUCAUUCAUGUGAUAUUUUUUUAAUUCAUUAAAUCAAAAGAAAAAAAAUACUUUGCAAAAUAAUAAAAAAAUUGAAAAUCAUUUACUGAGGCAUUCCAAGAACAAUUGAAUGUAUUGUAUUUCAGAUUGAUCUGUGACUCAAUGAUCAAUGCGAAAGCAAAAAUAAAUUUUGCGUGUGUUUACUAGUUUUUUUUACGAUGAAAAGGUUCUUAACAUAUAUUUUAGUUUCUUUCACAUUUUAACAAUAUUUACAGUAUGCUUUUCUAUAUAGAAACAAACUGAAUUGGCCAGUCCUGAGAGUAUAUUCAAAAUUCUGACAUUAAAAAAAUUACAUUCAUUUUACAUAUUAUGUGAAAUAUUAAGGCGUAAGUUACUUCACUGCAUUUAUGAGAAGUUACCGCUUCAGUCCAAUAUUUGUCAAAUCUACAUGUGUAAAUUAUCAACAUGAAAUAUAUUCUACAUGAAGCAAAUGUUGCAAACGAUUAACAGUUGCUGGAGAUGUUAUCUGUGACCCUGUCUCAAUUUCUUUACUGGCUGUUCAGUGUCAACAUUCCGUCCUACUGCUGUCGAUUCCCCUCUGUAUUAAACAAGCAAUCUGUCAUUUAAAACUUUUCUCCCCUCCCCUCCCCUCCCUCAUACAGAUUUGGGGGCGGUCGGGAAGGCUAGUGGUUAAAGCGUUAGCUUGUCACACCGAAGACCCAGGUUCGAUUCCCGACAUGGGUACAAUCUGUGAAGCCCAUUUCUGGUGUCCCCUGCAGUGAUAUUGCUGGAAUAUUGCUAAAAGUGGCCUAAAUACAUACUCACUCAUUCAUACAGAUUUGAUAUGAUCUUAUCUUUUGCAGAAUCGAUUAUUGUGACCCUUGAAUUUUGGACUGGACUGUACAUGACUUCAAUGUUGCUAAAUGUUUCAUGAAACAUAUUCAUUUAAUAUUGUUUGUUAUUUGAAUAAUAAUUGUCCUAAUUGUGACUGUCCCAGUGAGUACUGUGUUGGGGUGAAGUGUAGUGGAGCUUUAAGGGUGAAUGUGGACAAUAAGUGAUAAUUUCCGUCAUGUUUGAGUCCUGUCAAACUGAUGGAGUUGAUGUUUUUUUAAUGAUUGACCUUUUUACUGUUACUAUAACACCUUGUACAGAUGUUGGGUGUUUUUAUGUUCAGUGAUGGUGCAAGUGACACAUAAAUAAAAUUUACAGUUA
RNAcentral lists this long non-coding RNA (3163 nucleotides) under Haliotis rufescens (red abalone). RNAcentral describes it as "uncharacterized LOC125372022". The record is from RNAcentral. Lineage: Eukaryota; Metazoa; Mollusca; Gastropoda; Lepetellida; Haliotidae.